AUGCUGUAGUUCCUGCUUUGGCUGCAAUCCUUCCUGCUUCUGUUUCUGCCUGCAGAAUUUCUCCUUAUGACCAAGCCUUUUGUAGAAGUUGCACCGAACGACUUUCUUUCCCUUGUACCAGCACUCAUUUUUAGGGUGAUUUGUCAAGGAACAAAUGCUGCAUUGAGGAUAUUUCUUUUGCUUACUGGAAUUUUGAGUUCCAGUUUGAUUCCCUUCACUCUUUCUCCCUUGAUGCUAUGUUG
Molecule: long non-coding RNA, 242 nt
Filed under: Carica papaya (papaya)
Lineage: Eukaryota; Viridiplantae; Streptophyta; Magnoliopsida; Brassicales; Caricaceae
Description: long non-coding RNA (CPAP_LNC009491)
Source: RNAcentral